This 317-nucleotide ribosomal RNA is filed under the name uncultured eukaryote. Its description in RNAcentral is "partial 18S ribosomal RNA". It matches the Rfam family "Eukaryotic small subunit ribosomal RNA", at positions 1470 to 1796 of the family's 1831-position model. The record is from RNAcentral.
CCCUUAGAUGUUCUGGGCCGCACGCGCGCUACACUGAUGCAUUCAACGAGCCUAUCCUUGACCGACAGGUCCGGGUAAUCUUUGAAUCUGCAUCGUGACGGGGAUAGAUUAUUGCAAUUAUUAAUCUUCAACGAGGAAUGCCUAGUAGGCGCAAGUCAUCAGCUUGCGUCGAUUACGUCCCUGCCCUUUGUACACACCGCCCGUCGCUACUACCGAUGGAUGAUUUGGUGAGAUCGCCUAGACUGGCAGCUGGCUUCGGCCGUGCUGCCGGGAAGACGCUCAAACUUGGUCGUCUAGAGGAAGUAAAAGUCGUAACA